Molecule: ribosomal RNA, 984 nt
Filed under: Faecalibacterium prausnitzii
Lineage: Bacteria; Bacillati; Bacillota; Clostridia; Eubacteriales; Oscillospiraceae
Description: bacterial SSU rRNA
Rfam family: Bacterial small subunit ribosomal RNA
Source: RNAcentral
AUUUAUAAAGAGUUUGAUCCUGGCUCAGGACGAACGCUGGCGGCGCGCCUAACACAUGCAAGUCGAACGAGAGAGAAGGAGCUUGCUUCUUCGAUCGAGUGGCGAACGGGUGAGUAACGCGUGAGGAACCUGCCUCAAAGAGGGGGACAACAGUUGGAAACGACUGCUAAUACCGCAUAAGCCCACAGGUCGGCAUCGACCAGAGGGAAAAGGAGCAAUCCGCUUUGAGAUGGCCUCGCGUCCGAUUAGCUAGUUGGUGAGGUAAUGGCCCACCAAGGCGACGAUCGGUAGCCGGACUGAGAGGUUGAACGGCCACAUUGGGACUGAGACACGGCCCAGACUCCUACGGGAGGCAGCAGUGGGGAAUAUUGCACAAUGGGGGAAACCCUGAUGCAGCGACGCCGCGUGGAGGAAGAAGGUCUUCGGAUUGUAAACUCCUGUUGUUGAGGAAGAUAAUGACGGUACUCAACAAGGAAGUGACGGCUAACUACGUGCCAGCAGCCGCGGUAAAACGUAGGUCACAAGCGUUGUCCGGAAUUACUGGGUGUAAAGGGAGCGCAGGCGGGAAGACAAGUUGGAAGUGAAAUCCAUGGGCUCAACCCAUGAACUGCUUUCAAAACUGUAUUUCUUGAGUAGUGCAGAGGUAGGCGGAAUUCCCGGUGUAGCGGUGGAAUGCGUAGAUAUCGGGAGGAACACCAGUGGCGAAGGCGGCCUACUGGGCACCAACUGACGCUGAGGCUCGAAAGUGUGGGUAGCAAACAGGAUUAGAUACCCUGGUAGUCCACACCGUAAACGAUGAUUACUAGGUGUUGGAGGAUUGACCCCUUCAGUGCCGCAGUUAACACAAUAAGUAAUCCACCUGGGGAGUACGACCGCAAGGUUGAAACUCAAAGGAAUUGACGGGGGCCCGCACAAGCAGUGGAGUAUGUGGUUUAAUUCGACGCAACGCGAAGAACCUUACCAAGUCUUGACAUCCUGCGACGG